Long non-coding RNA from Mytilus californianus (California mussel), 172 nucleotides. RefSeq lists it as uncharacterized. The transcript is spliced from 2 exons. NCBI's taxonomy places the organism in Eukaryota, Metazoa, Mollusca, Bivalvia, Mytilida, Mytilidae. The record is from RefSeq and is a predicted model, not a curated record.
UAUAUACGAAACUAAAUGUAAGCAUCACUAUCAUUCAUGGAUGAAAAUGGAAGAAGAACUCAAUGAUCUUUGAGAUAAAUCAACUGAGUAUGAACAGUGGAAUAGACAGCAGAAUGAACUUUAAAAUGUUUUUAAUUUGUUUAAAUAAAUGAUUUAUGGUUUGAUUCUUGAA